Oncorhynchus mykiss (rainbow trout) is the source of this 925-nucleotide non-coding RNA. NCBI's taxonomy places the organism in Eukaryota, Metazoa, Chordata, Actinopteri, Salmoniformes, Salmonidae. The record is from RefSeq and is a predicted model, not a curated record.
AAGCCGAUCAGCUGAUGAAACUGUGAACAACGUCUAGCUGUUGGGCAGCGAAAUUAUCCUUAUAAGAGAGAUAUAUCUAUACACAACGACAACCCAUCAGAGUCUGCAGAGCGUCUGCUCCAGGAGCGUUUCAGGAAGGCCCUGAGUGAACGUUUCAGUGGGGAUAUCCCAGAAGAGCACCUGGCCAGUAACUCUUUCUUCCCUGAUGAAUACUUCACCUGCUCCAGUAUCUGUCUCAGCUGUGGGUCCUGGCAGAUUGAGCUGAUUGAGAGAAUGCCAAAGAGUGUGCAAAGCUGUCAUCAAGACAAAGGGUAUGUGAUAGAGUGUCCCAACUGUGGGGUGAUCUACAGAAGCAGGCAGUACUGGUACGGGAACCAGGACCCAGUGGACACAGUGGUCAGGACUGAAAUAGAACACGUCUGGCCUGGGGUAAGAACAAGAACAAGAGGAGCAUUGGUUCAUCAAAUCUCCCCAUUCUUGCUCAAUUUUGCAUGUCUUCUGAAACAACUGUAUACACUGUAUGUAUUCACACAUCAAGUCUUCUCUUGAGUUGGGCCUGGGGAUGGAACAACUGGUGAACAUCUGAGAUUUUGGUUGUUUGCAGGGGAAGGGUGGAGUGUGUGUGUCCGUGUGUGUCCGUCCCCCACAUCUGUUGCUAUGGGGUAAUGAUGUUAGGGACAAUACAGGAUGAGUCACAAUAAUUGCUUGCCAAAAAUAAUUAUUUUUGUAAUGCCGAUCCUGGUUGUAUGUAACAAUCCUUCAAAUGAAAUGGCAACAUUUCAUUACAUAUUAUUCCUUAAUUGUGGAAAUAAAUUAAGAUAUGUACGAUUUAUGUACUUACAGAAAACGUUUGACCUCUGUCAUUGCCAACAAAGGGUAUAUAACAAAGUAUUGAGAUAAACUUUUGUUAUUGACCAAAUACUUA